Molecule: ribosomal RNA, 567 nt
Filed under: Bothriocephalus sp. 1051.C.2g.v
Lineage: Eukaryota; Metazoa; Platyhelminthes; Cestoda; Bothriocephalidea; Bothriocephalidae
Description: SSU rRNA
Rfam family: Eukaryotic small subunit ribosomal RNA
Source: RNAcentral
CGCGCAAAUUACCCACUCCCAGCACGGGGAGGUGGUGACGAAAAAUACCGAUGCGGGACUCCCAAACGAGGCUCCGUAAUCGGAAUGAGUCAACUAUAAAUCCUUUAACGAGGAUCAAUUGGAGGGCAAGUCUGGUGCCAGCAGCCGCGGUAACUCCAGCUCCAAUAGCGUAUAUUAAAGUUGCUGCAGUUAAAAAGCUCGUAGUUGGAUCUCGGUAUCAUUGUUACCUGCCGGCCUUGCAAGCGUUGGCCUAUCGAUAUAUGGGUGAGCCUGUGUGUCAUAGUGUCAGCUGUUUCGGGUUGGUGUGGCGGCGGUGACACCUUUCAGCCAUGUCUGUGGUGAAAUAUCCACAGGUGUAGGCGAGUGUCACGCGGUGCCCUGCAACUGUGGGGUUCGUCGGCUUGUCUGCAUGCCUAUGGAUGCCCUUCAAAAGGUGUCUGUGGGCGGAUGGCACGUUUACUUUGAACAAAUUUGAGUGCUCAAACCACGCCGAUGUUGCCUGAAAAGUUUUGCAUGGAAUAAUGGGAAUAGGACUUCCGGUUCUACUCGUUGGGUUUUUCGGAUCGA